Mus pahari (shrew mouse) is the source of this 426-nucleotide RNA transcript. It is a transcript of the gene named histone H2A.Z pseudogene, with no coding region annotated. The transcript has a single exon. NCBI's taxonomy places the organism in Eukaryota, Metazoa, Chordata, Mammalia, Rodentia, Muridae. The record is from RefSeq and is a predicted model, not a curated record.
UGUCUCUUCCUCGCUUAUUGGAGCUUCUGCACAGUUCGAGAUGGCUGGCAAUAAGGCUGGAAAGGACUCCGGAAAGGCCAAGACAAAGGCGGUUUCCAGCUUGCAGCAAGACGGUUUGCAGUUCCCUGUGGGCCAUAUUCAUAGAUACCUGAAAUCUAGGACAAGCAGCCACGGACAUGUGGGUGCGACUGCUGCUAUGUACAGAGCAGCCAUCCUGGAGUACCUCACCCCAGAGGUACUUUAGUUGGCAGGAAAUGCAUCAAAAGACUUAAAGGUAAAGCGUAUUACCCCUGUUCACUUGCAACUUGCUAUACGUGGAGAUGAAGAAUUGGAUUCUCUGAUAAAGCUACCAUUGCUGGCGGUGGUGUUAUCCCACAUAUCCAGAAAUCGGUGAUUGGAAAGAAAGAACAACAGAAGACUGUCUAA